CCGGGCGCACGGGUGAGUAACACGUAUGCAAUCCACCUGUAACAGGGGGAGUAACCCGGAGAAAUCCGGACUAAUACCCCAUAAUAUGGGCGUUCCGCAUGGAGAGCCCAUUAAAGAGAGCAAUUUUGGUUACAGACGAGCAUGCGCUCCAUUAGCCAGUUGGCGGGGUAACGGCCCACCAAAGCGACGAUGGAUAGGGGUUCUGAGAGGAAGGUCCCCCACAUUGGAACUGAGACACGGUCCAA
This 245-nucleotide ribosomal RNA is filed under the name uncultured bacterium. Its description in RNAcentral is "partial 16S ribosomal RNA". It matches the Rfam family "Bacterial small subunit ribosomal RNA", at positions 94 to 334 of the family's 1533-position model. The record is from RNAcentral.